AUGAUUGCAUGUAUCCACUUUCCCAGGAAAUACAUGGAAAGGCCUCUGGGCAUGGGAGAGCUGGUGAAUUGUGAGGAACACUUGGGACAUGGAGCAGCAUUUCAUAUGGAGGAGAAAAGACAAAAAUGUGGUCUUAAGGUGCUUUUACUCUUGCCUGAUUUGGACUGCUUUGCUCCUGGACGAUCUCCUUAACACUGUUUUUAAGCUAUGUUGCAGCCUCUUAGCCUAAGGGUCUGUUUUAACAGCUGAUGCCACUACAUAAAUCUUGUGCUGGUGAGAACAAAGACAAAGGAAUGAAAUGAAGCCAUACUUUGCGAGGACACUGACAGGAUAACCAAAAAUCUUUUGCUGACUAGGUUAAGAUAAAUAGUUACACAUGAAGUUGGCAGACAGAGCCAGCUGCAAAGUUGCCUAAAAUAAGCCAUGUGCUCAGUAUGUUGCCUAAGCACCAUUAGUAUAUUUUGGACUACCUUUGCUAAAUUCUUGGUCCUAGAAGGGUAACAAUUAAUGCUGUUGAGGAUGUUUGUGUCCCAAUAAAAAUCCUAAAAGAAUGCUGUACCAACUUCUAGUCAGAUCUGGAAUCCUUACCUACAGAAAAUCUGUUAUGCUAGUUCUAUAGGACCCAUCAUCACACAAUCAUUAAAUAAAACCAGACUUCUCUACUAGUAGGAUGAAUUGCAUUUAUUUUGCAUUUUAUGGCUUACCUCUAUUUUGACAAUUAAUUUUUUGAAAGUGCUAAUGCUGAUAAUACAAAUCUCUUAAUAGUCUUUAGCAGCAAAGUUGUGUGUAUGCACACAUAUAUUUUUUACCUUUCCUUUGUCUUUUUCUGUGAAUAAUGUCAGUCAUGUAAAAAUAAAUGCUAACAAUGCGUGAAUUCUUGGCUUCAGUGUUGGUUCAAUGAUAUUUUAAAUUUAAUUUCUUAUGGACUACCAUAUUUGGAAUCACAAGGUAAAUCCUUUUGAAGCAAGGAGAUGCAAACAGUCCAGUGAGAAGAAGUAUCCUGUCUCUAGGCCAGCUAAACUGACAGAUUGUACUUAAGAAAAACGUUUUUGAUUUCUAGAAAAGCCACUUUGGAACAUUUUUAGAAGAGUUUAAAAAUCCUUUUGAUUGUUCUUCAUCUGCAAAAUAUGGUUCAUUAUAAAAGAUUAUUUCAUUUUGGGAAAAAUAAUUACUUUUUUCAGAAUCUGUUAGAGCAAUUGCAGAUUUCUUUCAUUACAUUGGAAAUUCAAUUUUAAGUUCAAUUAAGAAAGAAUAAUUUUGUCUUCCCCCUUUCUCUUCUUGAUGAAGUCUUUAGUUCUUUUUUACUUAUUUUUUGUCUUUUUUCUCCUCACACAAGCAAUGCCAAUGACAUAGUUCUAAGUCCUGAAAUGUUCUUUUCUUUCAAGUGUUUUCCCUUUAAUAUUUUUAACAAACAAAAUAUUAAAAAUUGCAUUUUAUCACUAGUAUCACUGAAAAUCUUGUAGAAACAUUAUAAAUAUUUUAGAUUUUCCUUUUACAAGAAUGGUUGUAUUUUUUUAAAAUCUAAAAUAGGUAUUUUUUCAGUUAUAUCUGUCCUAUGUUCUACGGCAUGGUAGAUAUAAACAAUAAUUAUUUUAUGUUUUAAUUCACAGAUUUAAUCUACUGUUUUCCUCCAUCAAAGGAUAUUUUUAUACAUCCUUAUACGGCAGGUAUAUUCUACAGCAUUAUUCCAUAUCAGUAAGGAAAUAGUGACUUUACAGGCCACAGAAGUGAAAAAGUUGUCCAUCAUCUCAUUUCUGUUCCUGCAAACAAGCAUUGAGCAAAAGUGCUCAUCAGAGAGCUUGGCUUUACCAAGUACUUUGAGAAGUACACUUUAGUCUAGAGGUGUAAUUAUCUCUAUUUCUAGAAAAAAGUAUUUUAAAUGUUUUACUUUCUUAAACUAAAGUGAAAAUGCAUAGCUUCUGAUUAAGAAUGCUGUUAGCAAUGUAGCAGAGUUUACAUCUGAGCAUCAUGACAGCAGCAACUCAACCUAUUUCCAUGAACAUAUUUCUAACUUUGUGAUUAAACAGCGUACAUUCAGAUUAAACAGACACACAGCUCAGGUGAGAGAGGCCUUAAAUGAAUUUUGACACUGUGGGAUAUAAAUUAGACAAGGUUUGUAGAAAAGGUGAUAUCUUUAAUUAGAUCAACUAAUAGAAAUGGAGAAAACAAAGUUUUCGACUUGACUGACAUCAUUAAUGAGAACUGAGAAAGGGGAAAACCCAAACUAAAUACAAGUGGGAUGUAAUAAUAAAAUUAUUUUAAUCAAUUAAACCACUGAUGAGAAAACAGCUGCUAACAUGAAUGUUAUAGAAUGAAUCAGCAAGAAAACUGUCAGCUUUAAAAAUGUUGCUACUGUCCUCAUUAAGAAUGUGGUUCCCAGGAUUAUUUUUAAAACUUGUUUGGAUGUCCCUUGUUAGUCCAUGCCUUGUGCAAGAGAUGGACUACUUUUUAAUUAAAUGAUUCUCUUACCCUUUGCUGUGUUUUGUCUGUGACUUGUUAUCUGUGUCAGUUCAUUGUAGUGAAUAACAGUUGAUGAGUUCCAUGCACGUAAUUCUCAUGAGGACGUAUGACCCUUAGUGUAAUAUAUCCUGUUUUAAAGAGUAUGAAGAAAACCCAUUUAAUUCUUUUGGUUGCUGAUAUCAAUUAUGUUAAAUAUGUCAGUAUUCAUGAAGUUUACUUUGGCUCUGCCAGCAAGGUUUCGUUCUAAUGAGUGUUUGUUAGUAUAACAAAUAUAUGGGGGGUGUCUGCUUUGGAUUGUGAGUUUAAUACUUGUUUAAAAAGAGAUAUGGGAAAGAAGAAGUCUUCAAGGAAGUGUAAAUGCUGUGAUUAUCUAACAAUUUUUUGUAUAUAUGCCAGCAUUGAGUAUUACACAAUAGGCAGGAAUAUUUUAUCAAUGUAGGCUUCCAUUUUACAUUAUUAGAUUGACAGGUGGUAUUUGGGAGGUUAGUUCAAAUGGAAGGCCUGCUCCUUGCAAAGCAGUUUAGUGGCACAGUUCUUUAAAAUACCUUGCCAUGAGUAGUUCAUUAACAGGAUGCCAUUACUGUAUUUUCAAGCUUUGGUUGCUCUCUCCUAUUGAUUUCCACAGUUCUUUAUGAGUAGUAGGCACCUUCAUCUGAAAACCACCAAUUUAGGUGUACCAAUAUUGUAUUAAAUGAGAAAAAUAAUUGGUCUGGUUUCAAGUUCUUUCUUUAUCUUUGACAAAACCCAUCUUGAAUUAAGCCUCUGCACAACCAAGAGACCUUUGGGAGAGAAAUCCUCUAAGAUGUGAAUAUUCAUAAACUGCUUUUUAAGGCACUCAAAUGUAAAUUGCAGUGUUCUUGUCAGGCUGUUCAGCAUUUUAAAACUAUGCAGACAUUUUCUUAUCAUACUCUGAAGAAAUGAGAAAUUGUCAGGGUAUUGUUGUACUCUUCUCCAUCACAUAUCUAUUUUUACUAUAUAAGCUAUUUUGCCUCUAGUUCAGCCACGUCUUUAUGUGUUAAUGCAAUCAUAAAACAAAUAAGAGUUUUGUGUAUAUGUAUAAAUACAUACACAUAAUUGAUCCACAAAAGCCUAAGUCUGAAAUAUUAUAUGUAUAUGUAUAUGUAUAUGUAUAUGUAUAUGUAUAUGUAUAUGUAUAUGUAUAUGUAUAUGUAUAUGUAUAUGUAUAUGUAUAUGUAUAUGUAUAUGUAUAUGUAUAUGUAU
Molecule: long non-coding RNA, 3681 nt
Organism: Ficedula albicollis (Collared flycatcher)
Lineage: Eukaryota; Metazoa; Chordata; Aves; Passeriformes; Muscicapidae
Source: Ensembl